AGAAAAAAUAAAAUAAAGAAAGAGUUAUCUCGUAAACUUAAUUCAGUUGGUAGGGAUAUCGUAAUAUAUAUAUAUACAGGAACUGAAGUUUGAACUUUAUUUAGACUUCACUUAUUCACUUUAAAGAUGAAAUUCCAGCCACAAUUUAAUUACUAUUUGACAAAAAAGAAAGAAAAGAAAGAGCUAACAUAGACUUCACUUAUUCACUUUAAAGAUGAAAUUCCA
Molecule: long non-coding RNA, 225 nt
Filed under: Trifolium pratense (red clover)
Lineage: Eukaryota; Viridiplantae; Streptophyta; Magnoliopsida; Fabales; Fabaceae
Description: long non-coding RNA (TPRA_LNC010577)
Source: RNAcentral